AUUGAACGCUGGCGGCAGGCCUAACACAUGCAAGUCGAACGGUAACAGGAAGCAGCUUGCUGCUUUGCUGACGAGUGGCGGACGGGUGAGUAAUGUCUGGGAAACUGCCUGAUGUAGGGGGAUAACUACUGGAAACGGUAGCUAAUACCGCAUAACGUCGCAAGACCAAAGAGGGGGACCUUAGGGCCUCGUGCCAUCGGAUGUGCCCAGAUGGUAUUAGCUAGUAGGUGGGGUAACGGCUCACCUAGGCGACGAUCGCGAGAUGGUCUGAGAGGAUGACCAGCCACCCUGGAACUGAGACAGGCACAAUACUCCUACGGGAGGCAGCAGUGUGGAACAUUGCACAAUGGUGGCAAGUCUUAUGCAGCGAUGCCGAGUGUAUGACGACGGCCCUCGGUUUGUAAAGUCCUUCCAGGGGGGAGGAAGGGAGUACACUUAAUACGUUGGCUCAUUGACGUUACUCGCAGAAGAAGCACCGGCUAACUACGUG
This 490-nucleotide ribosomal RNA is filed under the name uncultured bacterium. RNAcentral describes it as "partial 16S ribosomal RNA". It matches the Rfam family "Bacterial small subunit ribosomal RNA", at positions 30 to 507 of the family's 1533-position model. The record is from RNAcentral.